This is a long non-coding RNA of Camelus dromedarius (Arabian camel), 910 nucleotides long. RefSeq lists it as uncharacterized. The transcript has 3 exons. The record is from RefSeq and is a predicted model, not a curated record. Lineage: Eukaryota; Metazoa; Chordata; Mammalia; Artiodactyla; Camelidae.
GGAGGUUGUUAAUGUGGAAUCCAGAACUGGGUGUGACACUCCAUUUUCUUCUCCAGGCAAGGCUCUGCGGAUGUAACGAGGACAACAAACAUGGUCCCUGCUCUCGUGAAGUUGUCCUGCAAAAAGAAGGCUCUGGUUUUAGACUUCUGUAUCCUUCAAAAUACCAGCUACCUGGCUUUUCUCACAGUCGGAUCUUUAAAAACUGAUGUCGACAGAUGAGGCUGAGCAUCCAAUGUCCGACGGACCCAGAACCGAGUCCCACUUCUCCCACUGACUAGCUUUGUGACUCCAGUCAUCUUUCACCUCGUGAAACCAAAGACUUCUGAAUUAAGAACUGCGCUCUGGCCCACUUCCGUGUGCCCUGCAGACUUCCCGGAGGGCUGGAUGGAAGAGCGGUAAGAGCAAGAGCACUGGGGUCGGAGUUUACAGAAUCCCACCGUUUCACUAGUACACUGUUAUGCACUCAAUGAUCUUUGGUAAGUUAGCACUCCUAGGUCUCAGUUUUCGACUACGAGAAAUAGAGAUGACAGCUUUAUCAGUUUUUGUGGGGCCUGAAUGCCUGGAGAGCGAGAGGAGUAGGGAAACCCAGCAAGCCAGAGUCGACAGCUUCUCUAACUGUAAAGUGUGUACAGGCCUUAAGGUCCAUGUGAGGCCUAUGGAGGACCAGUGCCUCUGGAAAGGAAUCGCUCACCAAGGCGACGUUCUCUUACUUCAUGAUAUAAUUUCUUUGUUAAAAGUAGUAGCUGCUUUAGUUCCAUUUCUCCAGUUGCAAGAGAAAGUUCUUGAGAAAAUAAAAAUCUGUCUUUAAUUGUGGUAUUAAAAUCAGAGCAGCGAAACUAACCGCUCAAAAGGAACUGGCUCAAGUUUAUGAAAGGCAUUUGGGCCCUUGCCUUGCAAGGCUGAACUGCAC